This 138-nucleotide unclassified non-coding RNA is filed under the name plant metagenome. RNAcentral describes it as "partial contains small subunit ribosomal RNA, internal transcribed spacer 1, and 5.8S ribosomal RNA". The record is from RNAcentral.
UUUCCGUAGGUGAACCUGCGGAAGGACCAUAAAGAGUCCGAAAGGAUGGAGUUGUGAAUUGAAGUAUAGUGAAAGUCGAUAACAGUAUAAAGCUGCCAACAAUGGAUCUCUUGGUUCUCGCAUCGAUGAGAACGCAGC